RNAcentral lists this ribosomal RNA (476 nucleotides) under uncultured bacterium. RNAcentral describes it as "bacterial SSU rRNA". It matches the Rfam family "Bacterial small subunit ribosomal RNA", at positions 25 to 518 of the family's 1533-position model. The record is from RNAcentral.
CAGGACGAACGCUGGCGGCGUGCCUAACACAUGCAAGUCGAGCGAGGAGAUCCUUCGGGAUGAUCCUAGCGGCGGACGGGUGAGUAACACGUGGGCAACCUGCCUCAUAGAGAGGAAUAGCCUUCCGAAAGGGAGAUUAAUACCUCAUAACACUGCAGUUUCGCAUGGAACAGCAAUUAAAGGAGUAAUCCGCUAUGAGAUGGGCCCGCGGCGCAUUAGCUAGUUGGUGAGGUAACGGCUCACCAAGGCGACGAUGCGUAGCCGACCUGAGAGGGUGAUCGGCCACAUUGGGACUGAGACACGGCCCAGACUCCUACGGGAGGCAGCAGUGGGGAAUAUUGCACAAUGGGGGAAACCCUGAUGCAAGCAACGCCGCGUGAGUGAUGACGGCCUUCGGGUUGUAAAGCUCUGUCUUCAGGGACGAUAAUGACGGUACCUGAGGAGGAAGCCACGGCUAACUACGUGCCAGCCGCUGC